CAAAGUGUUAGGAUUAUAGGUGUAAGUCACCAUGCCCAGUCUGCAUUUACUUUAAUUACAUUUUGUGUCCCUUUAGCUUUAUCCUGGUGGACAUGCAAGAUAGAUGUAACUUUGGUAUUUGCCCGAAAUAUUGAUGUUGGUCAAGGGGAAGCACUUGAACAGAGUUCAUGGUACCAGAUGUGAAGUAAAGUCUACAGACAUUGGAAAUGUUGUGGGACUCAGGGAAAAAGUCCUAUACCAGGAGGUCUUGAGAAUUCACAAGAGGCAGGUAAGAUAAGGCCUCCAAGGCCAGACUAAGGAGUAUAAAGGUCUCUCUGAUUGACCCUCCUAAUAAGCACCCCACGCAAGUCCUCAUAGGAUAUGAGUUAUAAUGGAGCAGGGGAGUGUGCAGAGCUUGGAGGAGCUUGGAAAGUAAAGCACUGGGAGAAGAGAUUGGCUUGCAUAGCCUUGUUCAAAAUGUACCCUUCUGAACCAAGAGACGGCUUAUAACACAUAUCAUAGUGGGUUCCCCCAUAUCCAUUCCACCCAAGAUGAUAAAUCUAAGCUAAUCAUGGUAAUCUCAUCCCCUUUGCUACUAGUUAUUACUAGGCAUGGGCAGAACUACACCAAUUUCAGCUGAUAAAACCUCAGCAGGUGCUGGAUAUUAACAAAAGGGAAGGGAGUCCUCAUGGCUGCUGGUGGCCGUCUUAGAACCAGGAGUAAGUCGUAUGCUGAAGCCAAGGCUAAGGACAGCAGAGCAGAGAGAAAAAGGAACCCGGUCCUUGAAGACAUUUUCUUACUAGCAGGUACCAAAUUCGGUUUCUUCCAAUUGGCAUCAGAAGAAUCCAACUGAAGCCUGAACAACAGAUCGAGUUUCCAAAAAAGCAAGGAAAGAAAGAAAGAAGAAAGAAAAGAAAGAAAGAAAAAGA
Non-coding RNA from Saimiri boliviensis boliviensis (Bolivian squirrel monkey), 908 nucleotides. The record is from RefSeq and is a predicted model, not a curated record. Lineage: Eukaryota; Metazoa; Chordata; Mammalia; Primates; Cebidae.